RNAcentral lists this small nuclear RNA (155 nucleotides) under Jaculus jaculus (lesser Egyptian jerboa). RNAcentral's name for it is "U1 spliceosomal RNA (ENSJJAG00000004638.1)". It matches the Rfam family "U1 spliceosomal RNA". From Rfam's summary of the family: U1 is a small nuclear RNA (snRNA) component of the spliceosome (involved in pre-mRNA splicing). Its 5' end forms complementary base pairs with the 5' splice junction, thus defining the 5' donor site of an intron. There are significant differences in sequence and secondary structure between metazoan and yeast U1 snRNAs, the latter being much longer (568 nucleotides as compared to 164 nucleotides in human). Lineage: Eukaryota; Metazoa; Chordata; Mammalia; Rodentia; Dipodidae. The record is from RNAcentral.
AUAUUUCCCUGACAGAGGUGAUUCCAUGUUCAUGAAUGUUUUCCCAGAGUGAGGCUCAUCCGUUGUACACCAGAUGUGCUGGCCCCUAAGUUUUCUCCAAAUGAGGGAAACUUGGUUACAUAAUUUGUGAUAGUGAAGGACUGUUUGUGCUUUUC